GGGAGUCAGACUGUGGGUGAUAAGAUUCAUAAUCGAAAGGGCAACAGACCAGAUCGUCAGCUAAGGUCCCUAAUUGUAAGUUACGUGGUAAAGGAUGUGGGAUUGAACAGACAACCAGGAUGUAAGCUAAGAAGGAGCCACUCAUUCAAAGAGUGCGUAAUAGCACACUGGUCGAGUGAUCCUGCGACGAAGAUUUCCGGGGCUAAAACUUACUACCGAAGCUACGGCAUCAGGAAUGAUGGGUAGGGGAGCUUACCAUACGGGUUGAAGCAUGACCGGAAGGACAUGUGGACAGUAUGGGAGC
RNAcentral lists this ribosomal RNA (304 nucleotides) under Clostridioides difficile. RNAcentral describes it as "bacterial LSU rRNA". It matches the Rfam family "Bacterial large subunit ribosomal RNA", at positions 979 to 1289 of the family's 2925-position model. The record is from RNAcentral. Lineage: Bacteria; Bacillati; Bacillota; Clostridia; Peptostreptococcales; Peptostreptococcaceae.